UUCGGGAAUGCUGACGACCGGCGCACGGGUGAGUAACGCGUAUGCAACCUUCCUGUAUCAGGAGGAUAGGCCUUGGAAACGAGGAUUAAUACUGCGUAAUAUUAUUUUAUCGCAUGGUAAGAUAAUCAAAUUUACGAAGGAUACAGAUGGGCAUGCGUACCAUUAGCUAGAUGGUAAGGUAACGGCUUACCAUGGCUAUGAUGGUUAGGGGUUCUGCAAGGAAGAUCCCCCACACUGGUACUGAGACACGGACCAGACUCCUACGGGAGGCAGCAGUGAGGAAUAUUGGUCAAUGGAGGCAACUCUGAACCAGCCAAGCCGCGUGAAGGAAGACUGUUCUAUGAAUUGUAAACUUCUUUUGUGACAGAGUAAAGAUAGCUACGUGUAGUUGUUUGCAAGUAUGUCAUGAAUAAGCAUCGGCUAACUCCGUGCCAGCAGCCGCGGUAAUACGGAGGAUGCAGGCGUUAUCCGGAUUUAUUAGGUUUAAAGGGUGUACAGGCUGUCUGGUAAGUCAGAGGUGAAAGUCGGUUGCUUAACGAUCGAAUUGCCUUUGAAACUGUCAGACUUGAGUAUGGAUGUGGUAGGCGGAAUGUGUAGUGUAGCGGUGAAAUGCAUAGAUAUUACACAGAACUCCAAUUGCGAAGGCAGCUUACCAAACCAGCACUGACGCUGAAGCACGAAAGCGUGGGUAGCGACCAGGAUUAGAUACCCUGGUAGUCCACGCAGUAAACGAUG
Molecule: ribosomal RNA, 735 nt
Filed under: uncultured organism
Description: bacterial SSU rRNA
Rfam family: Bacterial small subunit ribosomal RNA
Source: RNAcentral